This 433-nucleotide ribosomal RNA is filed under the name uncultured bacterium. Its description in RNAcentral is "partial 16S ribosomal RNA". It matches the Rfam family "Bacterial small subunit ribosomal RNA", at positions 29 to 507 of the family's 1533-position model. The record is from RNAcentral.
AGCGAGCGCUGGCGGCAGGCUUAACACAUGCGAGUCGAACGGGCACUUCGGUGCUAGUGGCAGACGGGUGAGUAACACGUGGGAACGUACCUUUCGGUUCGGAAUAAUCCAGGGAAACUUGGACUAAUACCGGAUACGCCCUUCGGGGGAAAGAUUCAUCGCCGAUAGAUCGGCCCGCGUCUGAUUAGCUAGUUGGUGAGGUAAUGGCUCACCAAGGCGACGAUCAGUAGCUGGUCUGAGAGGAUGAUCAGCCACAUUGGGACUGAGACACGGCCCAAACUCCUACGGGAGGCAGCAGUGGGGAAUAUUGGACAAUGGGCGCAAGCCUGAUCCAGCCAUGCCGCGUGAGUGAUGAAGGCCUUAGGGUUGUAAAGCUCUUUUGUCCGGGAAGAUAAUGACUGUACCGGAAGAAUAAGCCCCGGCUAACUUCGUG